GCAACCAGGGUCUUCUGGCUCCACCUCCCUCCUCCAGCUUCCACUUCAUGUCCCCGGACAUCCCUGCUCUAGACAUUCUGGACCCAUGGAUAUUUCAGAGUUUCUCAGAGAUAACACCACAGCCCACAGUCAGACAGUAAAGGGUGAAGUUUAUGGCUGUUACUCAUUUACCUACUGGUACUAGAAGAUCUGGAAUUUCACUUCAAUGAUUUUGAUCCAGGAUGCUGGGCUGCCUCCUGAUUUGGUACAUCAUCCAACCAAUCUUGCUAGAAGCAGAAAGUAUCUUCUUUUAAUGAAUGACUAGUUCCUAACAUGUUAUCCUGCAUCACUCCAGCAAAGACAAAGGAGCUAUUCUACUUUGCAACAGCCAAGGAUAUCUCCCAGAACUUUUAAAUAUACUGCUCUGCAUUCCACAGCUUAUUCAGCUGCAUAAGGAAGGUUAAUUAAAACGGAAA
Molecule: long non-coding RNA, 455 nt
Organism: Alligator sinensis (Chinese alligator)
Lineage: Eukaryota; Metazoa; Chordata; Crocodylia; Alligatoridae
Exons: 3
Source: RefSeq, a predicted model, not a curated record